Long non-coding RNA from Calidris pugnax (ruff), 304 nucleotides. RefSeq lists it as uncharacterized. The record is from RefSeq and is a predicted model, not a curated record. The transcript has 3 exons. NCBI's taxonomy places the organism in Eukaryota, Metazoa, Chordata, Aves, Charadriiformes, Scolopacidae.
AGGUCUGGCCAGGAAACCUUCAAGUAGCAGCACUUUCCCUUUUAAGCAGUCUGGCUUCCAGACCCAGGAGAAAAUGCAGUGGAAGAGAAGAGCUGCUCUUCUGGGAAGCGACUUCUUUCUCAACGCUGAAGAGAGAAUCCUGGGGCAAUCUCAGGACAGGAAUUAUCAUCAUUGUUACAUUGGUCUCCAAAACCCAGGGUCCUGCUCUAGAUGGUUCUCCUGCUGAUAACCAGGAAAAUGUCAGGAGUGAGAAGAUCGGAUGGUGGUGAGCAAAGUGCCUGGUACCCUUUCUGGGAUGUUCUCC